RNAcentral lists this ribosomal RNA (325 nucleotides) under uncultured eukaryote. RNAcentral's name for it is "partial 18S ribosomal RNA". It matches the Rfam family "Eukaryotic small subunit ribosomal RNA", at positions 1470 to 1796 of the family's 1831-position model. The record is from RNAcentral.
CCCUUAGAUGUUCUGGGCCGCACGCGCGCUACACUGAUACGCUCAACGAGCUCCUUGGCCGAAAGGUCCGGGUAAUCUUUGAAAUCGUAUCGUGAUGGGGAUAGAACAUUGCAAUUUUUGUUCUUCAACGAGGAAUGCCUAGUAAGCGCGAGUCAUCAUCUCGCGUUGAUUACGUCCCUGCCCUUUGUACACACCGCCCGUCGCUCCUACCGAUUGAAUGGUUUAGUGAGAUCUCCGGAUUGGCACCAUCGAGGCUUCACGGCCUUGACGGAAAGUCGAAAAGUUGCUCAAACUUGAUCAUUUAGAGGAAGUAAAAGUCGUAACA